AUACGGAGGGAGCAAGCGUUAUUCGGAAUCACUGGGCGUAAAGGACGCGUAGGCGGGUUUGUAAGUCAGGUGUGAAAUCCUACAGCUCAACUGUAGAACUGCACUUGAAACUACAGACCUAGAGUAUGGAAGGGGCAGAUGGAAUUAGUGGUGUAGGGGCAAAAUCCGUAGAUAUCACUAGGAAUACCGAAAGCGAAGGCGAUCUGCUGGGACAUUACUGACGCUGAGGCGUGAAAGCGUGGGGAGCAAACAGGAUUAGAUACCCUAGUAGUCC
RNAcentral lists this ribosomal RNA (274 nucleotides) under uncultured bacterium. Its description in RNAcentral is "partial 16S ribosomal RNA". It matches the Rfam family "Bacterial small subunit ribosomal RNA", at positions 523 to 796 of the family's 1533-position model. The record is from RNAcentral.